This 1552-nucleotide long non-coding RNA is filed under the name Citrus x clementina. RNAcentral's name for it is "Citrus clementina (C. clementina) long non-coding RNA (CCLE_LNC002833)". Lineage: Eukaryota; Viridiplantae; Streptophyta; Magnoliopsida; Sapindales; Rutaceae. The record is from RNAcentral.
UUUACUAUAAUAAAAUGCAACUAAUAACAACCACCUAAAAAUGUUGGCAUACAGUAAAAACAUUUGGAAUAUAAAACCAAAAAAAUGGUGGAAGUAACUGUUAAAGAGCUAAACCCAUAAAUUGGAACGAUUUACCGAUGAUUUGGUAAAUUUCAAUGGGAACUAGAGACAUGAAAAAUAAACUUGAAACACACACCUACAUGUUGGAAUUCAAUAAAACGUCUUGGUAUAUAGAACCAAAAAAUAGUGGGAAAAAAGGGGGAGAGUUAACCUAAAAGUUGGAACUACGCAACGAUAGUUUGAUAAAUUCCAAUGGGAAAUAGGGACUAAGAAUUGAAUUUGAAACUUUUACCUAAAAUGUUGGAAUUCAUUAAAAAAAACCUGUAAUAUAUAACUAAAAGGUACUGGAAAUAAGAGUUGAAGAACUUAACACAAAAGUUGGAAUGACUUAUUAAGAAUUUGAUAAAUUCUAAUGACAAGUUAGAAUCUAAAAAAUAAGCUUGAAACUUCUAUUCAAAAUAUUGGAAUUCAUUAAAAAGAGUAGGAAUAUAGAACCAAAAAGUGGUGGGAACAAGAGUUGAAGAACAUAACGCAAAAUUGGAAACGACUCACCCACAAUUUGAUAAAUUCCAACUAUAAGUAGGGAUCCAAAAAGUGAAAUUGAAACGUACACCCAAAAUUUUAAAAUUCAAUAAAAAGAGUAGAAAUAUAAAACAAAAAACUAGUAGGAAAAAGAGUUGAUUAAUUUAACCGAAAAGUACGAACAAAUUACCAGGAAUUUGAUAAAUUUCAACGGGAAGUAGGGAUAUGAGAAGUGAACUUGAAACAUCCACCAAAAAUAUUGAAAUUUAAUAAAAAGAGUAGGAAUAAAUAACCAAAAAGUGGUGGGAAUAUGAAUUGAAGAGCUUAAAUCAAAACUUGGAAUAACUUAGCAAGAAAUCGAUAUAUUUUAAAGAGAAGGAUCUAAAAUUGAACUUGAAAUAUCCAUCCAAAAUGUUGAAAUUCCAUAAAAAGAGUAGAAACAUAAAAGAAAAAACUGGUGGUAAUGACAGUUGAUAACUUUAACCUAAAAGUCAGAAUAACCUAACAAAGAAAUUGAUAAAUUUUAACAGGAAAUGAUGAUCUAAAAAGUGAACUUGAAACUCUCACCUAAAAUAUUAGAAUUCAAUAAAAGGAAUAGAAAUAUAGAAUCAAAAAGUAGUGGCAACAAGAGUUGAUGAACUCAACUCAAAAAUUGGAAUAAUUGAUUAAGAAUUUGAUAAAUUCCAAUGCGAAGUAGGGCUCUAAAAGUAAACUAGAAAUAUCUACCGAAAAUGUUGAAACUCUAUAAAAAUAGUUGGAAUCUAGGACUUAAAAGUGGUGGGAAAAUGAGUUGGAAUAACUUACCAUAAAUUAGAUAAAGUCUAAUGGAAUGUAGGAAUGUUGAAAGUAAACUUAAAAUAUCCACGUAAAAAGUUGAAAUUUAAUGAAAAAAGUGAAAAUAUAGAACUAAAAAUUGGUAGAAAAAUGAGUUGAAAUAACUUACCAAAAUUUAGAUAAAUCGUAACAAAAA